GUCUCCCACCUGAUCGUUUACACAUUGCCAAAAAAGAAUUCCAACAAAUGCUUGAUCUUGGAAUCAUCCGCCCUUCCAGCAGUCAGUAUGCCUCUCCUCUCCACAUGGUUCCCAAGCCACAACCCGGUGACUCUAUGUAUAACCUGACGUUUACUCCUCGUUUGACUCUGAAGAUGACUACCGCUAAGGUUGUCGAAACGUCAGUCAACAACAACAAAAACAGUCCUUCUCAGGACUUUAUUAACCUGAAAAGUACCUUGAUGGUAAGGAGUGUAUGGAGGAGUGAGAGGAUUUAGAAAAGCAGCAGCAUGAUUGUGGAAGAGUUUGGUAGGAGUUGUGAGAUUGGGUGGUGAAUAUACAUACGAUUUAGAUGUUGAUGUAUAGCCAAAGUCAGGAGUAUGGAAAGGUAAGUUAGUAGAUGGAGUUUUAACUUGUUCAGGUUGGUUAGUAGCAUCAGAGAGUAGUUUCUAUUCAAACUUGAAAGACAGUUUCUCUUCAGCAAAGGAGGAGGACCAGGUAAGUUGUACAAGGUUGUAGGCUGAUAGCAUGUUAAGUAGAGAUUUAGGGAAUUCAUGAGAACUGUUAUUGUUCUUUUCAACAUACCAUUCUAUUUUAAGUUUGAUCGAUUUAGUGUUUAUAUUGAUGUCCCAGGAUGGAGAAGAACCAAUACCAAGAUUUCCAAUUAAUGAGGAAGCUUGAAAAAGAGAAAACAGUAAUGUAAAUGAAGAACAAAGAGAGGAAGAGCAAACGAUUGACUUGCAAAGUUGUGGGAAAAUGAUGGAGAUGAUCCAAAGCAGGAUCAGUCAUACCGAAGCAUAUCCGCAUUUUCAAUCAAUUCUUCAACAUUUGCUUCAUUUUCCAAGUAUUUAGUCGAAUUCAUGUGGAUCUUUUCGUAGUGGUGUAGGGCGAAAAUAGAGAAAUUAGAAAAAUUUGUGGACUGGCGGAUUUAGUUAUGCAACAAAUGUCAGUUCAAAGCGAAGAUGAAGAAGAAUUGGAAGAAUUGCGACAGAGGCUUGGGAAGCUUAACAUACAUCAUAGAUAGUAGGAAAGACCAGAACUGUCAAAUUUUGUUAUCAAACUAAAUACUUCUAACAAACAGUUAGCGCGAGCUGUUCUCACCAUAGAUAAAGAUGGCGAAUUAUCUGUAGAAAUGCUCGAACAGGUAAAAUUUCACUUUGACUUCUUGCAUGGGAGUUAAAAUUUUUACUAACGAAUCUAUCUUCAUCCUUUUUGUUUAGCUCUUCAAGCUCGUACACACUACCCAA
Xenia sp. Carnegie-2017 is the source of this 1265-nucleotide long non-coding RNA. RefSeq lists it as uncharacterized. The transcript is spliced from 6 exons. The record is from RefSeq and is a predicted model, not a curated record. NCBI's taxonomy places the organism in Eukaryota, Metazoa, Cnidaria, Anthozoa, Malacalcyonacea, Xeniidae.